RNAcentral lists this ribosomal RNA (1867 nucleotides) under Campylobacter coli. RNAcentral describes it as "partial 23S ribosomal RNA". It matches the Rfam family "Bacterial large subunit ribosomal RNA", at positions 1 to 1732 of the family's 2925-position model. The record is from RNAcentral. Lineage: Bacteria; Pseudomonadati; Campylobacterota; Epsilonproteobacteria; Campylobacterales; Campylobacteraceae.
AAAAAAGGUAAGCUACUAAGAGCGAAUGGUGGAUGCCUUGACUGGUAAAGGCGAUGAAGGACGUACUAGACUGCGAUAAGCUACGGGGAGCUGUCAAGAAGCUUUGAUCCGUAGAUUUCCGAAUGGGGCAACCCAAUGUAUAGAGAUAUACAUUACCUAUAUAGGAGCGAACGAGGGGAAUUGAAACAUCUUAGUACCCUCAGGAAAAGAAAUCAAUAGAGAUUGCGUCAGUAGCGGCGAGCGAAAGCGCAAGAGGGCAAACCCAGUGCUUGCACUGGGGGUUGUAGGACUGCAAUGUGCAAGAGGUAAGUUUAGCAGAACAUUCUGGAAAGUAUAACCAUAGAGGGUGAUAGUCCCGUAUGCGAAAAACAAACCUUAGCUAGCAGUAUCCUGAGUAGGGCGGGACACGAGGAAUCCUGUCUGAAUCUGGGUCGACCACGAUCCAACCCUAAAUACUAAUACCAGAUCGAUAGUGCACAAGUACCGUGAGGGAAAGGUGAAAAGAACUGAGGUGAUCAGAGUGAAAUAGAACCUGAAACCAUUUGCUUACAAUCAUUCAGAGCCCUAUGUAGCAAUACAGGGUGAUGGACUGCCUUUUGCAUAAUGAGCCUGCGAGUUGUGGUGUCUGGCAAGGUUAAGCAAACGCGAAGCCGUAGCGAAAGCGAGUCUGAAUAGGGCGCUUAGUCAGAUGCUGCAGACCCGAAACGAAGUGAUCUAUCCAUGAGCAAGUUGAAGCUAGUGUAAGAACUAGUGGAGGACUGAACCCAUAGGCGUUGAAAAGCCCCGGGAUGACUUGUGGAUAGGGGUGAAAGGCCAAUCAAACUUCGUGAUAGCUGGUUCUCUCCGAAAUAUAUUUAGGUAUAGCGUUGUGUCGUAAUAUAAGGGGGUAGAGCACUGAAUGGGCUAGGGCAUACACCAAUGUACCAAACCCUAUCAAACUCCGAAUACCUUAUAUGUAAUCACAGCAGUCAGGCGGCGAGUGAUAAAAUCCGUCGUCAAGAGGGAAACAACCCAGACUACCAGCUAAGGUCCCUAAAUCUUACUUAAGUGGAAAACGAUGUGAAGUUACUUAAACAACCAGGAGGUUGGCUUAGAAGCAGCCAUCCUUUAAAGAAAGCGUAAUAGCUCACUGGUCUAGUGAUUUUGCGCGGAAAAUAUAACGGGGCUAAAGUAAGUACCGAAGCUGUAGACUUGCGCACAACUUAGAUUAUUUAAGUUUAGAAUAUGAGAAACUAAGUUAUAUGUUUAGUUAUAUUUUUACUGAUUUUUAUAGAGUAAAGAUAGAAAUAAAACUUAGUAAAAUCAGUAAAAAUAUUCUUAGACUAAAGUUAAGUAGUUUAAGUUGUGUGCAAGUGGUAGGAGAGCGUUCUAUUUGCGUCGAAGGUAUACCGGUAAGGAGUGCUGGAGCGAAUAGAAGUGAGCAUGCAGGCAUGAGUAGCGAUAAUUAAUGUGAGAAUCAUUAACGCCGUAAACCCAAGGUUUCCUACGCGAUGCUCGUCAUCGUAGGGUUAGUCGGGUCCUAAGUCGAGUCCGAAAGGGGUAGACGAUGGCAAAUUGGUUAAUAUUCCAAUACCAACAUUAGUGUGCGAUGGAAGGACGCUUAGGGCUAAGGGGGCUAGCGGAUGGAAGUGCUAGUCUAAGGUCGUAGGAGGUUAUACAGGCAAAUCCGUAUAACAAUACUCCGAGAACUGAAAGGCUUUUUGAAGUCUUCGGAUGGAUAGAAGAACCCCUGAUGCCAUCGAGCCAAGAAAAGUUUCUAAGUUUAGCUAAUGUUGCCCGUACCGUAAACCGACACAGGUGGGUGGGAUGAGUAUUCUAAGGCGCGUGGAAGAACUCUCUUUAAGGAACUCUGCAAAAUAGCACCGUA